UUGUAAUCUAUUCUAGAAGCUGUAGCUCCAUAUAGUGUAUCAUUGUUGUUCGUACAGUGAGUUCAUAUAGAAUGCUUGAUCACAUGAAUUUGUCUGAAUGUAUAUUAUAGUUUCUUGGUGUUUAAUUUAUAAUACAUUGAUGAUGGAUUUAUGGUCCUAUGGCUUCUGUAAAUUUUAGUAGUUCUUUUGAGACUGUUUUUUUACAGUGAGAUGAUAGUGAAUUUUCCAGUGGCCACCGCUUUCUGAGAUCACCAUCACUACCUAGCACUCUGAUUUUGCUAUAACUGUUGUCCUCCUAAUAGGUACUAUACUUUCUCCUUCUACUUCUUUUGUUUUGCCAUGUUCGUUACAGUUCAUUGUGAUUCUUUUAUAUUCAUUGUACCUCUUCUUGUUUGCUGUUCUCGAUGCUGCAACAUUGGUAACUGAGAAUCCGGCGACAAUCAAAUAGAACUCGAAGAAUUCUUGUCCUUCUCUUCUGUUGAACUCCAUUUCCAGCUUCAUUAUUACUCUCUUUAUGUUCCACACAUGUGGCACAUUGUCUGAAGUGUAUGAAUUUCCCCAUAACAUGAUGGAUCCUUCAUCUUCAGCUAACUUGCAGCAAUGCAGCAAGUGUAUGCUUUUUAUUUAUUUAUUUUCUUCAGGAAUUUUUGUUGCUGAUGCAACCUGAAUAUGUGUUUACAUAUCAUUUUCUCUACUUGAUAUUUCUUAAUUACCUUGUCCAAGCUUAGAUUGUCAAGAAGUCAUACUUUCCAGGGAUUUGAAGAAGCUGGAUCAAUACAAGCUUUAUGUAGAGAAACUUUAUGUAGCUUGCUGUCUUGCUGUACAUUGUCUGAAGCUUUAUGUAGCUUGAUGUCUUGUUGUA
Molecule: non-coding RNA, 862 nt
Organism: Triticum urartu
Lineage: Eukaryota; Viridiplantae; Streptophyta; Magnoliopsida; Poales; Poaceae
Source: RefSeq, a predicted model, not a curated record